AAUAUGACUCUCGGCAACGGAUAUCUCGGCUCUCGCAUCGAUGAAGAACGUAGCGAAAUGCGAUACGUGGUGUGAAUUGCAGAAUCCCGUGAACCAUCGAGUUUUUGAACGCAAGUUGCGCCCAAGGGACCCUCCCGAGGGCACGCCUGCCUCAUGGGCGUUAGAA
RNAcentral lists this ribosomal RNA (166 nucleotides) under Carex pachygyna. RNAcentral's name for it is "5.8S ribosomal RNA". It matches the Rfam family "5.8S ribosomal RNA". Rfam says of the family: 5.8S ribosomal RNA (5.8S rRNA) is a component of the large subunit of the eukaryotic ribosome. Lineage: Eukaryota; Viridiplantae; Streptophyta; Magnoliopsida; Poales; Cyperaceae. The record is from RNAcentral.